Molecule: small RNA, 315 nt
Filed under: Arabidopsis thaliana (thale cress)
Lineage: Eukaryota; Viridiplantae; Streptophyta; Magnoliopsida; Brassicales; Brassicaceae
Description: ATSL094550
Source: RNAcentral
CAAAGAACUUGAUAAAAGAAACUUAGGUCUAAACAAUAACCUCUAAAACUAUAUAUAAGCCCUAUAAAACGUCAAGGGACUAAUAAUGCAAAUAGGGAAGUCUUCUGGGGCAAAUUUCCACUUCUGUAAAUUUGAAAGCGUCAUGGACUUUACUGGGCCGAAACUGGUGUCGAUCGACACUCUCUCUGAAUCCGGAAUCCGAAAUCGUCCUUAGAUCCUUUUUCCUUAGCUUUUGCUCCAAAAUGUCUCCUCAUCUCCAUUGUUGUCCCAAUGCAUAAAAUACCUGAAAAGGCACUAAAAAGACUCGAGAAAUAA